Long non-coding RNA from Vespula pensylvanica (western yellowjacket), 887 nucleotides. RefSeq lists it as uncharacterized. The transcript is spliced from 3 exons. NCBI's taxonomy places the organism in Eukaryota, Metazoa, Arthropoda, Insecta, Hymenoptera, Vespidae. The record is from RefSeq and is a predicted model, not a curated record.
AGUCAAUGUACUGCGAGGAAAACCGAAAGCUCCCAGUAUUGUUAUGUAGGUCGCCGAGAUAAGAAAAAAAUUGGUGGGUGAUCGUUCGCGAUUAGAGAUUAUUUAUUUAUGUCAAUCGUGGUUCACAAAUUCGUCAUUCUUUUAAAAUCGUUAACAGUGUUUAGAAGCCCGUAUUCGUUGAUUUGUUACCCAUUGAUCAAUUAAUGGAAUCUACAAAUGACAAGAUGUCGGAGAAAAACUUUUUAUUGAAUCGUUCAACUGAAAGUGAAGCGAUGACAUAGCACUCUUCUAGAGAUGACGCUAGAUCAAAGAGAGGGAAAGAAGUAGAGAAACGAGAUGUUAGAUCGUUGCAACGUCCGUCCGAUUUAUUAGCUCUUGACCUUGUUAAUAGUUAAUAUUUUUGCUCGCAUGUAUUCAAAUGUAUACUCUUGAUGGAUAGAAUAUACAUAUGCAGUGUUACUAUGGGUUUAACGAAGUAAUAACCAUAUAUGGUAGCUUUGUAUAGUCGUGGUGCUAGAAACGUUCAUAAUGACGGUAGUAGAAUUACAAUUUUUUUCUUAGGAGUAAUAUUAUUGUGAGGGGGAGCGAGAGAGGGAGAGAGGGAGAGAGAGAGAGAGAGAGAGAGAGAGAGAGAGAAAUAGUGGAAGGGAGAGAGAGAGAGAGGAAGAGAACAUAAUCAAGAUGCGAGAAGUCAGUUGAUUCCCUGCAAUAUCUACACUUAUCUUCGGCGCUACGUCAAAGCACGUUAAUGCAUUAUUAUGGCAGCUCUUGCUAUCAAGCAAAUAGUUUGCUAUCGGCCUAGGUCUAGUGCGGUUACAAUCAAAAAUGGAGCAAAGAUCUAUGUCAGAUAUCAUAAAGAAGAUGCAGCCUUUGUUAAGGAAGUUUGA